ACUAUAUCACGUUGAAACACUGAUUCUCAUACCAUCACUGAAGUUAAGCAACAUCGAACCUGGUCAGUAGCUAGAAGGGUGACCACUUGGGAAUACCAGGUGCUGUAA
This is a non-coding RNA of Acanthosepion pharaonis, 108 nucleotides long. Lineage: Eukaryota; Metazoa; Mollusca; Cephalopoda; Sepiida; Sepiidae. The record is from the annotation of a GenBank genome assembly.